CCGAAGAAAGAGCCAAGCUAUGCUUGUGGGGGAGGAUAUCCGCGGUUGGGGUCCGAAGCCAAAGGACUAGCCUUGGGCAGAGGGUCUGAGUGGGUGGCUCUGGAGGAGGUGGGAAUGAGAGACAGCCUGGGGGAGGGGACUGAGGAGCUGCCCGGGGCUACUGGCAGGGUUGCAGGGGAUGGGCUAAAGAAACAGCCCUGGAGGAGUGUGUCUGAGAGGGUGGCACUGGAGAAGAGAGGGCAGGAAAGGAUGGGGAGACAAAGAGACAGAUUUAAGAGACAUUGGGCAAAGAAGAAGAAGGAAAGGAAUUUGGUGUAAUGGCAAGUCCAGGAAGAUGGAUGGUAGUAUUUUCAUAGAAAUGGAGUUGUCAUGGGAGAAAGUGGCUUGAGGGAGGUGAGUAGGAGUUUGGUUUUUGGCUUGCUGAGAUUGAGGUAACCACAAGAUCCCUGAGAUGGGUAUAGGAAUAAGUUCAGAAGAGGGUGGAAAAUGGAUAUUUUAGAAACUUUCAGGUCAGCAUGAUAGUUGAGACUGGAAUACUGGAGAAGAAAAGAGCAAAAGACUGAGGGCUCCAUGUUGAGACAUACAUAUUCAUUUUCAAGAGUGGCCAAAAAGACUGAGGAAUCAGAGUUGUGGGGUAUAUGGGAAAGGGGAGGAGUGUUUCAAGGAGAGGGCGAGAGUUGACAGUGUUAGGGAGAUCACAGAGAUUGAAGACUGCAUACAAACUGUUGAAUUGAGCUGCCCAUGGUCUAGUAGGGAGAUGGAGACUGAAGCAAGUCAUUGUGGUUACGUGAUAAAUUAUGACAGAGAUGGGAACAAAGUGUUAUGGAAAUAUUGAGGAAAGAGUAACGAACUUCCCAAAUUUGGAAGAUUUGGAAGUGGGUAUAUUCCAGAAGGAGGAAAUAGUACAUUCAAGGAGUGAAAGGGAACAGACUGGACUGAGCUUCUUAAGGACAAGAUCUGUCUUAUUCAUCUCCUUACUCCUAAUGCCAAAUGCUCAUUGAACUGCUAAUGAUGAUAUGGGGCUAAAGUGGUCUGUGAGCCAACUACCAAGUAUGGUGGAUGUGGGUGACAGCAGGUGAUGAAUGAUAAAGAAGAAAGAUGCUGGUAUAAGCAAAUGGAUGCUUAUAAAGCGUAUGCCUAAGGUUAAGUCCCUAGUUGGGAAGGUCCAGAGACCAUUGUAAGCCAGCCAAAGAGGAGGUUUAGAAGGCUUCAGAGUAACACCCUAAGAUGGAAUUACCAGGGCACUGACUUCUCUUUUCCUUUUGUUCAUGGAAAAAGCACUGGACUUAGAGUCAGAUACCUGGAUUCAAAUAUUGGCUGUCGCUAAUUUGGAGUGCGCCUUUGGGCAAGUUGUUUCAUCUCUUUGAGUCUUGGUUUCCUCACUUGUGAAAUAAAGUGCCUUCUCCACUUCAUGAGGAAGACCACAUGAAUGAGGCUUCAGGACAUGUCACAACAGAUUGACUGCAGAAGCAGAUGGGAAAAAUAAAGUCUACAUGCUGACUGAGAAUGAUCCAGUAGAGAGGGAAAAAUUGAUGCUGCAGGAGAGAAUUGCUGGAGCAGUGUCCUUGAAUACGCAAGUGUACAGGUGGAGAGCUUGGCUAUGUGCUUGGAUAAUCCAUCCAUGGUAAGAGGAAGGAAGAGGACUUUUAGGAGUACAAAUUUGGUGCCAUUGUGGAGAAGAGAUUAGAGGGGGAACUUGCAGCUAUUGGUUACUUUUUGUCCACACUGUGCUAGAUGCUUUCCUCACAGCAGUCCUUGAUGUAAGAGGGAGAUGGGUUAUGAGGCUGUUGCAAUGAGGCAAGUAAAGUUGAG
This is a long non-coding RNA of Equus caballus (horse), 1812 nucleotides long. Lineage: Eukaryota; Metazoa; Chordata; Mammalia; Perissodactyla; Equidae. The record is from Ensembl.